AAAUAAAUAAAUAAAUAAAAUCUUGCCUAUAUCUGAUUGAUUGCACUCUUAUUAACAUGGAUCACAAAAUCAAGGUGAUCCUAAACCAGGCUAGGACCCCAAGUGCAAUCCACUGCCAAAUCAUGGCCAGAAACAAGAGCCCAAAUUAGUAAUAUAACAAUUGUCCUACCACAUAAUAAGACAAAUAAAACAGAAAGAAAUCAAUAAAAUACUUUAUGCAAAUACUAAAUAGAGGCAGGAUAGUGGCACCAAAUAUAAUAAUUGAAUGCUAAGCUAAAUGUUUACCCUUAGUUCUUCAUAUGCCCAAUA
This 309-nucleotide unclassified non-coding RNA is filed under the name Hevea brasiliensis (rubber tree). The record is from RNAcentral. Lineage: Eukaryota; Viridiplantae; Streptophyta; Magnoliopsida; Malpighiales; Euphorbiaceae.